AGCAACGAAGAACGUUCUGCCGAGCGAAAAGAAUUCUACAAAAAAAAAAUCCGCGAAUCGCUUAAUUCACCAAGUGCAGCUGAAGAAAAGCAACAACAACAAGGACGAACAGAGCAAGCGCAGCAGCGGCAGCAGCUGAAAUGAGAGCAGCGCAGCGGUGAAAGAAAAACGAGUGAGAGUGAGAGUGAGAGUGUGGAGCUAGAGUGUGAGAGCGAGAGCGAGAGCGUUGAGAUCCCAGCAAAAGAUAAUCAACGGCUCUGCAAAGAAAAAACGGCAGCUUUACGUUCCAGCUUCCAGCGUUUAGCUUCCCAAAAGCAUUUCCAAUUCCAAGCCAGUCGCAACGUCGGGCGGAAUACCGCUAUUUAAGAUCACGUCGUAGUCACUGUCACUGUCCACCGCCGCCACCUGCUCCUGCCCACCAUACGUCACGCGAUGCAACCACAAGUAACGGUUGUUGCAGCAGUAGAAAACGCAGCAGCAGCCACAGUCACAGCACCAACAGAAGCAGCAGCAGCAGCAGGAAACGCAGUAACAGCAGCAGCAGGAAGCGCAGUCGACGUUCGCCGCCAGCAAUCGUUUAUCGAUAGCCAAAGGACUCCAAUCGAGCUGUAAUCGCGUUUUGCGUUUUUUUUUUUGUGCACG
Drosophila serrata is the source of this 642-nucleotide long non-coding RNA. The record is from RefSeq and is a predicted model, not a curated record. Lineage: Eukaryota; Metazoa; Arthropoda; Insecta; Diptera; Drosophilidae.